UCAAAUGCUUUUUCUUCGAGUUGAUAGGAAUAGUUCGUAGGUUUUGGUUAUGGCAGGUCUGCUCUGUUCUCUGUUUUCUGGCUGACUUCUUAUCAAACUGUUGAGAGGCCAAAGGCAACACUGGUGUUUAAUUACAAGCGACACGGAUUGUGGACAUAAGAAAGAAGCAGUAGCAGGAAGCCUGUAAGCUGUCAGCCUCAGAAACAGGAAGGAAUCUUCUGCCUAGAAAAAGAAUUUAUGAUUGAUAUGAAUGUAGGAAACUAAGGUGCUCCUUAAAUUGAUUUGUAGGAAAAUCUGGAAGAGGGGAAAAAAGAAAAAGAACCAAAAAUGGGGUUGAAGCAAGAUCAUUACACCUCACAAGUGCUGAGCUUUUUAGUUUGUUUCAGGGCAAAGGACUUGGGGGAAAAAAGAGAAGAGUAUCGUAAUGAAACUGUGAGAUGGCAACUAUGUCUAUAAGCCUGAAGAUCUUUUGACUGUGCACAUAGGGGAGACUUACAAAGAUUUUUUUAGUCCAGAAAAGUAAUUACAAUCCUAUACCACAUCAAAGAAAAGGAUCUUCUGGCAUUAUAUCUAGAAAAAGUCAGAAGUGUCUGAAUUUAACCUAAUGUUCCUUGUCAGGAAGCCAGAAUUUACAAAUUCCAGAACACUUCUUGC
Long non-coding RNA from Empidonax traillii (willow flycatcher), 654 nucleotides. RefSeq lists it as uncharacterized. The record is from RefSeq and is a predicted model, not a curated record. The transcript has 3 exons. NCBI's taxonomy places the organism in Eukaryota, Metazoa, Chordata, Aves, Passeriformes, Tyrannidae.